RNA transcript from Melanaphis sacchari, 2226 nucleotides. It is a transcript of the gene named serine/threonine-protein kinase NLK, with no coding region annotated. The transcript is spliced from 9 exons. Lineage: Eukaryota; Metazoa; Arthropoda; Insecta; Hemiptera; Aphididae. The record is from RefSeq and is a predicted model, not a curated record.
UCAAUCAGUAGUAGUCAUUCUGAAUGCUGAUAAUCUGAUUCAGUGUCGGUCGAACGACUUGGCAAACGGUUGUUCGUCUCGUAUUCGUGUGGUGGCUCCCGGACGGCACGCGUUCGAAUACGGUUGCAAUAAUAUUGUCCCAUUCUCUUGUGUUUUUGUAUAAUCGUACGUCGUUUUUUAUCUUACUCUACGUUGUUGUUGUUUUUAUUAUUAUUAUUAUUAUCGUCUUUUGUCUUACCAGCCGCUGGUCCUUAUCACGCGCGUAAGUGUCCCACUGCCUAGACAAAACAAUAAUUUUCCUUCGAUUCCGAGAUAAUUAAUCAUAAAUAAUUUAAAACGUGUACGUUGACGAGUGUACUACAACACAAUAUUUUACGGGAUCUACGUUGCUAACCGUGUCGGUGGAUCCGCGAGCUCACUGGUCGUCGUCGUCGUCGAUUAUCACGCACCGUAAAUGAGAACGAAACCCGCCGUGCGCCGGAAUUCGUGGACUAACCGUCACUGACGUACUGUUAUGGCUGUGGUCGGCCCGAGCCGACACUCCAGGGUGUCAAUGUCGCUGAUGCAGGGCUCAACGAACGGUCCAGUGGGCAACCACCAGCAGGCCAGUGCCUCGCAACAGUUUUUCCACGCUCAGCAGCAGUCUCACCAUGCCGCGCAAUCGGCCACCGCACAUCCGGUGGACUAUAAGCCCGACAGACCGAUUGGAUAUGGCGCCUUUGGAGUCGUCUGGGCUGUUACAGAUCCACGAGACGGACGAAGAGUCGCGUUGAAAAAGCUUCCAAAUGUUUUUCAAUCUCUAGUUUCCUCGAAACGAGUUUUUAGAGAGUUAAAAAUGUUAUGCAAUUUUAAACACGAAAAUGUAUUGUCCGCCCUUGACAUUCUGCAACCGCCUCAUUUGGAUUUCUUUCAAGAAAUAUACGUGAUAACCGAACUAAUGCAGAGCGACUUGCACAAAAUUAUUGUGUCACCGCAGCAGCUGUCGCCGGACCAUAUAAAAGUGUUUCUCUAUCAAAUCCUCAGGGGUCUUAAGUAUUUACAUUCUGCACGAAUAUUACACAGAGACAUCAAACCAGGAAAUCUUCUCGUCAACAGUAAUUGUAUUCUAAAGAUAUGUGACUUUGGUCUGGCCAGAGUAGAAGAACCGGAUGAGACGAAACACAUGACUCAAGAAGUAGUAACGCAAUAUUAUAGGGCACCGGAAAUAUUAAUGGGAGCCAAACACUACACAUCGGCCAUAGACGUGUGGAGCGUCGGUUGUAUAUUCGCCGAACUCGUCACUCGGCGGAUACUAUUCCAAGGCCAAGACACGGUUCAACAAUUGGAGUUGAUAACGGACUUGCUCGGUACGCCAACCAUGGAAGACAUGGCCCACGCGUGUCCGGCCGCCCGUUCCCAUAUGCUCAUACGACGCAUGAAGAAACCGUCCAUGUCGUUAUUGUACUCUUUGUCUUCGUUGAUGACGCAUGAGGCGGUUCACUUGAUUUCCCAAAUGCUAGUUUUCAACCCGGAUAAACGGAUGUCCGUUAUGGACGCACUAGUCCAUCCUUAUAUAGACGAGGGUCGCCUCAGGUAUCAUAGUUGUAUGUGUAAAUGCUGUUUCACGGUACCAUUGACGGGUCUCCGGCAUUUCUGCAUGGACUAUGAACCGGUUGCGCCGCAGACGUUCGAUGACAAAUGGGAGAAGAAAAUGUCAAACGUACAACAAGUCAAAGAGGAACUUCACAAGUUUAUCGGUGACCAGUUGAGCAGUCACCGCGUGCCAUUGUGCAUAAAUCCCCAGUCGGCGGCAUUUAAAAGUUUCUCGAGGUAAGGCUGUGAGAAACGUCCAACUCUUCUGAAUCACCAAAUAUACAUACUACACCUCGACUAACCGUGAUGUUUGAUCGGAGCAGACUGCCUCAAUUCCUUAUAUUUAUAUGUAUUUACACUGUAUAUAUAUAUAUAUUAUAUUAACGUGAUAACCGGAUCUCAAAUUGGGCCCCCCGAGACCGAGACUGAAUGAAUAUAACAUAACACAAUGAAAUCGAGACAAGAAGAUUAAACAUAAAAAAAAAAAUUGUACAUAGUUCUGAAUUUUUUUUUCUUUUUAUUGUAUGUGUGAGAAAAAUGCUUGAUUUUUACUUAUUUUGACGAUUGAAAGCUCAGUGUCCCAACUUUUAUUUUAUUUUAUUUUUUUAGUACGCUUAUUUUCUUAUAAUUAUUAUAUUUUUUUUUUUUUUUUUA